GGAUCCAGACUUUGAUUCUGGCUCAGGACGAACGCUGGCGGCGUGCCUAACACAUGCAAGUCGAACGGAACUGUUUUGAAAGAUUUCUUCGGAAUGAAUUUAAUUUAGUUUAGUGGCGGACGGGUGAGUAACGCGUGAGUAACCUGCCUUCAAGAGGGGGAUAACAUUCUGAAAAGGAUGCUAAUACCGCAUGACAUAUCGGAACCACAUGGUUUUGAUAUCAAAGAUUUUAUCGCUUGAAGAUGGACUCGCGUCCGAUUAGUUAGUUGGUGAGGUAACGGCUCACCAAGACCGCGAUCGGUAGCCGGACUGAGAGGUUGAACGGCCACAUUGGGACUGAGACACGGCCCAGACUCCUACGGGAGGCAGCAGUGGGGGAUAUUGCGCAAUGGGGGCAACCCUGACGCAGCAACGCCGCGUGAAGGAUGAAGGUUUUCGGAUUGUAAACUUCUUUUAUUAAGGACGAAACUUGACGGUACUUAAUGAAUAAGCUCCGGCUAACUACGUGCCAGCAGCCGCGGUAAUACGUAGGGAGCAAGCGUUGUCCGGAUUUACUGGGUGUAAAGGGUGCGUAGGCGGCUUUGCAAGUCAGAUGUGAAAUCUAUGGGCUCAACCCAUAAACUGCAUUUGAAACUGUAGAGCUUGAGUGAAGUAGAGGCAGGCGGAAUUCCCCGUGUAGCGGUGAAAUGCGUAGAGAUGGGGAGGAACACCAGUGGCGAAGGCGGCCUGCUGGGCUUUAACUGACGCCGAGGCACGAAAGCGUGGGUAGCAAACAGGAUUAGAUACCCUGGUAGUCCACGCUGUAAACGAUGAUUACUAGGUGUGGGGGGUCUGACCCCUUCCGUGCCGGAGUUAACACAAUAAGUAAUCCACCUGGGGAGUACGGCCGCAAGGUUGCAACUCAAAGGAAUUGACG
RNAcentral lists this ribosomal RNA (916 nucleotides) under uncultured Bacillota bacterium. RNAcentral's name for it is "bacterial SSU rRNA". It matches the Rfam family "Bacterial small subunit ribosomal RNA", at positions 1 to 915 of the family's 1533-position model. Lineage: Bacteria; Bacillati; Bacillota. The record is from RNAcentral.